UACGUAGGGUGCGAGCGUUGUCCGGAUUUAUUGGGCGUAAAGAGCUCGUAGGCGGUUUGUCGCGUCGGCCGUGAAAUCUCCACGCUUAACGUGGAGCGUGCGGUCGAUACGGGCAGACUUGAGUUCGGUAGGGGAGACUGGAAUUCCUGGUGUAGCGGUGAAAUGCGCAGAUAUCAGGAGGAACACCGGUGGCGAAGGCGGGUCUCUGGGCAACAACUGACGCUGAGGAGCGAAAGCGUGGGGAGCGAACAGG
Molecule: ribosomal RNA, 253 nt
Filed under: uncultured bacterium
Lineage: Bacteria
Description: partial 16S ribosomal RNA
Rfam family: Bacterial small subunit ribosomal RNA
Source: RNAcentral